RNAcentral lists this long non-coding RNA (678 nucleotides) under Mus caroli (Ryukyu mouse). RNAcentral describes it as "lncRNA (MGP_CAROLIEiJ_G0005486.1)". Lineage: Eukaryota; Metazoa; Chordata; Mammalia; Rodentia; Muridae. The record is from RNAcentral.
GGCUUCCUGGUUCUGCUGGAAGGCCUCCUAGGUGGGACUCAGCUGCCCUGGCUAUCUAAGGCAUGCAGCUUCAGGUGAGCACACUAGAAAGUUUCUUUUCAGUUUUAUUUGUUUUGUUUGCUCUGUGUUCCCCCAAACAAGCCAGAAAUGAGUCAUCCAUUCAUUCAUUGGUGCAUUCAUUCAUUUGGAAAAUCUUCACUGACUGAGCUUAGCACAUACUGUACUUGGCUUAGAGCUGAGAGAGAAUACAAUCAAGAUUCAGACUGACAGUGUUCCUCUGCUCCUCUCUUCAUUGGGUGAGGCUGACCACCGCACUUGACUUUGAAGCAAGCAACGAGGAUAGCUCUUGAAUAUCUGUCCAGGUUGAUGUGACUUGCAGGAAUAUGGAACAGAUUAGAAGACUCGGAAGCUGUGAUUGCUGCAGGUCAUGCAGAGAAGGUGUGCCCAAGCCAGACACCUCAUCACUUCCUGCUUCAUAUAACACCACUGUGCCUUGAGUUGAAGCCAAAGGCAAGUGGACUGUGGCACCAGACAAAGGAACUGCCUACUCUGGUGGUUGAAUUGGAUGUAGACUAGAGGGAGAUCAAAGCCAAGCCUGGAGAAAAUGACACUCUCCAGACAAGAGAUGCACACCGAGUGAAGACAUAGAUGUUUUCCAGCAGUGUUUCUCAGACUGCA